Bombina bombina (fire-bellied toad) is the source of this 1375-nucleotide long non-coding RNA. RefSeq lists it as uncharacterized. The record is from RefSeq and is a predicted model, not a curated record. Lineage: Eukaryota; Metazoa; Chordata; Amphibia; Anura; Bombinatoridae. The transcript has 3 exons.
UUCAUCCAUUUCAACACUCACCAACAGAAUAUUAAAUAAUAUGUCUGUACUUCCUCAAAACAUACUGAAUAUUCAUGAAUAGAAUAAUUACAUACACUUACACUGAGGCAUCAGAUUUAUUUACUUGCAUCAGCCUUGAGAAGAAUCAACAUCCCUAAAACUUCAGAGUCAGAACCAAAGAUAAAGCAGAGUCUAUACAUUUGUGUUAAAGGGAUUCUAACUCCAUAAGAACAAGACUCUGUGUCGAAGGAUUGAUACCUUAUACCAGAAGAGGGAAUUCUCAGGAGAGUGACAUCACUACCACUGUGAACUAUAGCCCAGGAGAGCUGAAUGUUGAGGUAGCCGAGCGGCUCAGAAGUCUCAGCCUGCCCCAAUAGCACUACUGUGUGCUUCACCGCAUAAUUGAAGAACAAUAAGAGCUCAGUUGCUGUCAUGAGUUCUUUUGCUGCAAAAGAAAAAGAUCCCUUUGGCCAGAAGGAAGAAGUGAAUAUUGAUGAUCCAGUAACAUCAGUGCACCCUGACAAACAAGGGGAGCCAGAGAAUCUAGUGGGGUCUAAGAGAUCAGAUGAGGAGGCAACAUCUGGGCAGUGUAGGUUAAAUGAUGAGUCAGAAAUGUCUGGUUUUUGGUCAGAAUUAAGUCAGUGGAUAAAGUCACAUAGUACAAAGUCAGGGGAAACGGGGCGAGACGAAGGUAGUAAAGAAAAUAAAAUAACAGCAGGUACAAAACCAAUUGAUGACAAGCUUCCUGGACCUGGAAACAAUACUUGCAAUAUACUGUGAGAUUUGUUUUGCUCUAACUGAUAAUAACAUAUGUGCAUAUUUAUUAUUCACAGGUUUGGUCUUUAUUGUUCAUAUGUUCUUAUGCUACUGUUUACUUCUAUAUUAAAUGUAUAACACAAAUCUAAUCAUAUUGUCAAUGUGCUAAACAAAUAAGUUCUAGCCCAUACUGGACACAUUAUGUAAAUGAGUUGUAUGGUAGUACCUACCUAGCUAAAUACAUCAGAUGAGACAAUGACAAGAGACAUAUUGUGUAGCCACCAAACACCAGUUAUCUCCUAUUAGUUCACUGCUGCACACAAGCCUACCUAGAUAUGUUUCUCAACAAAAGAUACCCAGAGAAUAAAGUAAAUUUGAUAGCUGAAGUCAUUUGAAGAAGUCCCUUAAAAUCGCAUGCUCUUUCUGAACCAUGUAUGUUUGACUUUCACGUCCAUUUAAAUUUUGAAUGGGAGGAAUUAGACAACAAUAUUUCAAUACAUGCCAAAAUACUUUUUUCCCCCAGAACUUUUCAAUUGAAUUUUGGACUUUUCAAAAGAGUUUUGACCUCUUGAAAACCCAUUUUGGAUUUUGGUCUUUUACAUUUGUUUCAAUUUAAAGG